UACGUAGGGGGCAAGCGUUGUCCGGAUUUACUGGGUGUAAAGGGCGCGUAGGCGGAUUUGUAAGUCAGUGGUGAAAGCCCGUAGCUUAACUACGGAACUGCCUCUGAUACUGCAUAUCUUGAGUUCGGAAGAGAGAAGCGGAAUUCCAGGUGUAGUAGUGAAAUACGUAGAUAUCUGGAAGAACACCAGUGGCGAAGGCGGUUUCUUGGUCCGUAACUGACGCUGAGGCGCGAAAGCGUGGGGAG
This 245-nucleotide ribosomal RNA is filed under the name uncultured bacterium. RNAcentral's name for it is "partial 16S ribosomal RNA". It matches the Rfam family "Bacterial small subunit ribosomal RNA", at positions 524 to 768 of the family's 1533-position model. The record is from RNAcentral.